AUGAACUGUUGUUUAAUUCUGCACCUUUUACCUGGGCAGAGAAGGGACGAUUUGUACACCUGUAUUUUGCACUUUCUCUCAUCUCUGCUAAUGUCAUUUUCUUAUAAAUGUAGAUUUACUUAUAGUUUUUUUUUAAUCCAGCUGCGCAUGUACACUUAGUUAAAGCUUCACCCAAUGCUUAAUGUAACGUAAUUAAAUAUGCGGCUUGCGCGUUCUUUUCAAAAUUUUAUUUUUAAAAGAGAUAUAUCCACAUUUAUAUAUCUCUCCAAAUCUGUGUGCCAAGUAUAGCAUUUCUACGUUGGCUUGUUCUUCCCCCAUCCCUCACCUCGUCCCGGAGAUUCAAAGAUUGCCUUGAGCACCGUGCAGUUUUCUUUUAAACAGCCGCCUGGUUGCAGAAUGUGUCUGGAUGGUCAAGCCCUGGUGGGAGAAACUGAUCGUGCAUCUGGAGCUUGGAACAAAAACAGACAUUGCUGGAAAAGCUCAGCAGGUCUGGCAGCGUCUGUGAAGAAUAAAUCAGAGUUAACGUUUCGGGUCCGGUGACCCUUCCUCAGAAUUUGAGGCUUGGAAACCCGUUGGACCGAGGAAAGUGAUCACAAUCUCCAGAUGUGUUCACGAGUAUUUCAUUGAUGUGGCCCAUCCAGCGAGGAGGCGUUGCUGUAUCAGGUUCUGUGAAAUGAUGUGCGUUAACUGGAUCAAAUGUCAGGAGAGAAACUUUUAGGAUCAGGGCAUUGCUGGCUAGGCAGCAUUUAUUGCUGAUCCCUAAUUGCCCA
Rhincodon typus (whale shark) is the source of this 770-nucleotide long non-coding RNA. RefSeq lists it as uncharacterized. The transcript is spliced from 3 exons. The record is from RefSeq and is a predicted model, not a curated record. Lineage: Eukaryota; Metazoa; Chordata; Chondrichthyes; Orectolobiformes; Rhincodontidae.